RNAcentral lists this ribosomal RNA (487 nucleotides) under uncultured bacterium. Its description in RNAcentral is "bacterial SSU rRNA". It matches the Rfam family "Bacterial small subunit ribosomal RNA", at positions 29 to 518 of the family's 1533-position model. The record is from RNAcentral.
AUUGAACGCUGGCGGCAUGCCUAACACAUGCAAGUCGAACGGGGGCGAGCAAUGCCCUAGUGGCGGACGGGUGAGGAAUACGUAGGAACCGGCCCACGAGUGGGGGACGAACCUGGGGAAACCCAGGCUAAUACCGCAUACGCUCGCGAGAGGAAAGCGGGGGACCUUCGGGCCUCGCGCUGGUGGACGGGCCUACGUCCGAUUAGCUUGUUGGUGGGGUAAAAGCCUACCAAGGCGACGAUCGGUAGCUGGUCUGAGAGGAUGAUCAGCCACACUGGGACUGAGACACGGCCCAGACUCCUACGGGAGGCAGCAGUGGGGAAUAUUGGACAAUGGGCGCAAGCCUGAUCCAGCAAUGCCGCGUGGGUGAAGAAGGCCUGCGGGUUGUAAAGCCCUUUAAGCGGGGAGGAAAGCCGGGGGGUGGAAUAGCGCCUCGGGGUGACGUUACCGCAGAAUAAGCACCGGCUAACUCCGUGCCAGCAGCCGC